RNAcentral lists this ribosomal RNA (253 nucleotides) under uncultured bacterium. Its description in RNAcentral is "partial 16S ribosomal RNA". It matches the Rfam family "Bacterial small subunit ribosomal RNA", at positions 524 to 776 of the family's 1533-position model. The record is from RNAcentral.
UACGGGGGGGGCAAGCGUUGUUCGGAAUUACUGGGCGUAAAGGGUUCGUAGGUGGUCUGCUAAGUCGGACGUGAAAUCCCUCAGCUUAACUGGGGAACUGCGUCCGAUACUGGUGGGCUUGAGUGCAGGAGAGGAACGCGGAAUUCCAGGUGUAGCGGUGAAAUGCGUAGAUAUCUGGAGGAACACCAAUGGCGAAGGCAGCUUGCUGGGACGGUACUGACGCUGAGGCGCGAAAGCGUGGGGAGCAAACAGG